Molecule: non-coding RNA, 1241 nt
Organism: Delphinapterus leucas (beluga whale)
Lineage: Eukaryota; Metazoa; Chordata; Mammalia; Artiodactyla; Monodontidae
Source: RefSeq, a predicted model, not a curated record
AUGGGUCCAGGGCAGUGCCACCCACCUUGCGACUCCUUAGCAGCUGCCAACACAUCUGCAACACAGCUCCAGGGCAUGUGGCCACAGAUGCCUUCCUGGCUGGGAGAACCCUCCCCGCAGAACCAUUGCGAAGCUGCUGUGGGCCAGUUUCAAGGGCUGUGUGCUAGGCAGCCUGGGUGGGGCCAGGAGGCCCACGGGUGCAGGAACAGGCUGCUCACCGGGCUGUUUCUCUGGUUGGACUCAGACCUGCAGAGCACCAGGCCCAGAGCAGAGACCAAGCCCGCCGAGGAGCUGCGAAGCUGGGAGAAGAAGCAGCGGGCCCUUCUCAGGUUCCAGGGUGACAGCCGUCUGGAGCAGUCCGGCUGCUACCACCAUUGCGUGGAUGAGAACAUUGAGAGGAGAAACCACUACUUAGAUCUCGCUGGGAUAGAAAACUACACGUCCCAGUUCGGGCCUGGCUCCCCGUCAGUGGCUCAGAAGUCAGAACUGCCACCCCGCACCUCCAACCCCGCUCGAUCUCGCUCCCACGAGCCAGAAGCCAUCCACGUCCCACACCGAAAGCCCCCAGGCGUGGACCCUGGCUUCUUCCACUUUCUUGACGCCCCAUUCGCCAAGGUCUCGGAGGUCCAGCAGCGGCUCCGGGGUGGUACCCAGGACGGGAGCAAGCACUUUGUGAGGUCCCCCAAGGCCCAGGGCAAGAGCGUGGGUGUGGGCCACGUGGCCAGAGGGGCAAGAAGCAAACCCCCCAUGGGACCUGCUGUCCCCGCGGUGUCCCCAUCCGCCCACCUGGCCGCCAGCCCGGCCCUCCUCCCCACUCUGGCGCCCCUCGGGCACAAGAAGCACAAGCACCGUGCCAAGGAGAGCCAUCAGGGGUGCCGGGGCCUGCAGGCGCCCCUAGCCGUGGGCGGCACCGUCGUGGGGCGGGGCCACGUCAGGGAGCUGCCCGCGGUGGUGGUGUGCGAGAGCCAGGCCGGCCAGGCGGUCCAGAGACACGAGCAUCACCACCACCACGAACACCACCACCAUUACCACCACUUCUACCAGACCUAGAGCCCCGCCCCCACCCUUGCCCCACCAUAUGAAGGACCCCCUCCCCCUGCCCCCAAGGCAUUAUUAUUCUAUUAAUUAUUGUUAUUAUGACGAUUAUUGUUUAUUAAUAAUUAUUGUUACUCCACUAAUAUUCAGCUAGCCUCCAUGUAGAAGAUAUAUGGAAACACAGAACUAAACUUUUAUUUAUAUGU